AGAAAGAUGCAUGGUGUCCUUGGGAGAUCAGGUAAUGACAUUAAAAAAGAUCCAGACAUAGAUGACAGUACCUUGUCUCGGAAAUCUCUGGAGGUGCUAAAGUUUAGUUCAUCUCCCACAGUUGUGUAUAUUCGUUGCUGCAAAUCACAGUGCUCUACAGAUGUGACAUUCUUUGCUUUGGAACCCAGUGGACGAUGGAGAGUUCUUGUUCUUCCACAGCAAUAUCUCUACCGUGAGAUCUGUUGGAAAUCACCUCAAUCAAAUGUAAAUAGCUUGCAA
This 279-nucleotide unclassified non-coding RNA is filed under the name Hevea brasiliensis (rubber tree). The record is from RNAcentral. Lineage: Eukaryota; Viridiplantae; Streptophyta; Magnoliopsida; Malpighiales; Euphorbiaceae.